Molecule: ribosomal RNA, 304 nt
Filed under: uncultured bacterium
Lineage: Bacteria
Description: partial 16S ribosomal RNA
Rfam family: Bacterial small subunit ribosomal RNA
Source: RNAcentral
CAGCAGUCGCCGCGGUAAUACGAAGGGUGCAAGCGUUACUCGGAAUUACUGGGCGUAAAGCGUGCGUAGGUGGUGGUUUAAGUCCGUUGUGAAAGCCCUGGGCUCAACCUGGGAAUUGCAGUGGAUACUGGGUCACUAGAGUGUGGUAGAGGAUAGUGGAAUUUCCGGUGUAGCAGUGAAAUGCGUAGAGAUCGGAAGGAACAUCUGUGGCGAAGGCGACUAUCUGGGCCAACACUGACACUGAGGCACGAAAGCGUGGGGAGCAAACAAGAUUAGAUACCCCCGUAGUCCCUGUCUCUUAUAC